RNAcentral lists this long non-coding RNA (303 nucleotides) under Gallus gallus (chicken). Lineage: Eukaryota; Metazoa; Chordata; Aves; Galliformes; Phasianidae. The record is from RNAcentral.
CUUCUCCCUGCAACUGCUUCUCCUGUUUUUCUGCAUUCAUUUUACUCUUGGUCGUAUCUUUCAGCAGCAACUCAUGAGAACAGCACUUGGGAUGUAUUUUUUUCAUCUAUCAGGGAUAAUGGACCAUGCCUUUUUCUAGGAGCACAUUAUUUGGCCACUGGCAGAUCUUUAUAUUUGCCACAAGAUCCCCAGUAGCUGCAUGUUGCCCCCCACCCUCCCUCCUCAGGACACUGCAGACAAUAAUAGGCAUAAGCCCAGAAGGCCAACCAUAUCCUAGUCUACAUCAAAAGAGGCAUGGCCAGG